This 495-nucleotide ribosomal RNA is filed under the name uncultured bacterium. Its description in RNAcentral is "partial 16S ribosomal RNA". It matches the Rfam family "Bacterial small subunit ribosomal RNA", at positions 28 to 507 of the family's 1533-position model. The record is from RNAcentral.
GACGAACGCUGGCGGCGUGCCUAAUACAUGCAAGUAGAACGCUGAAGGAGGAGCUUGCUUCUCUGGAUGAGUUGCGAACGGGUGAGUAACGCGUAGGUAACCUGCCUGGUAGCGGGGGAUAGCUAUUGGAAACGAUAGCUAAUACCGCAUAAGAGUAGAUGUUGCAUGACAUUUGCUUAAAAGGUGCAAUUGCAUCACUACCAGAUGGACCUGCGUUGUAUUAGCUAGUUGGUGGGGUAACGGCUCACCAAGGCGACGAUACAUAGCCGACCUGAGAGGGUGAUCGGCCACACUGGGACUGAGACACGGCCCAGACUCCUACGGGAGGCAGCAGUAGGGAAUCUUCGGCAAUGGACGGAAGUCUGACCGAGCAACGCCGCGUGAGUGAAGAAGGUUUUCGGAUCGUAAAGCUCUGUUGUAAGAGAAGAACGAGUGUGAGAGUGGAAAGUUCACACUGUGACGGUAUCUUACCAGAAAGGGACGGCUAACUACGUG